This 168-nucleotide ribosomal RNA is filed under the name uncultured Comamonas sp. RNAcentral describes it as "partial 16S ribosomal RNA". It matches the Rfam family "Bacterial small subunit ribosomal RNA", at positions 365 to 524 of the family's 1533-position model. The record is from RNAcentral. Lineage: Bacteria; Pseudomonadati; Pseudomonadota; Betaproteobacteria; Burkholderiales; Comamonadaceae.
GGGUUCCCGGGGCCUUAGUCUGCAUCAGCAAUGCCGCGUGCAGGAUGAAGGCCCUCGGGUUGUAAACUGCUUUUGUACGGAACGAAAAGCCUGGGGCUAAUAUCCCCGGGUCAUGACGGUACCGUAAGAAUAAGCACCGGCUAACUACGUGCCAGCAGCCGCGGUAAU